UACGUAGGGUGCGAGCGUUGUCCGGAAUUAUUGGGCGUAAAGAGCUUGUAGGCGGUUUGUCGCGUCUGCUGUGAAAAAUCAGGGCUCAACCCUGGACCUGCAUUCGAUACGGGCAGACUAGAGUUCGGCAGGGGAGACUGGAAUUCCUGGUGUAGCGGUGAAAUGCGCAGAUAUCAGGAGGAACACCGGUGGCGAAGGCGGGUCUCUGGGCCGAUACUGACGCUGAGGAGCGAAAGCGUGGGGAGCGAACAGG
This 253-nucleotide ribosomal RNA is filed under the name uncultured bacterium. RNAcentral's name for it is "partial 16S ribosomal RNA". It matches the Rfam family "Bacterial small subunit ribosomal RNA", at positions 524 to 776 of the family's 1533-position model. The record is from RNAcentral.